This is a ribosomal RNA of Panthera pardus (leopard), 119 nucleotides long. NCBI's taxonomy places the organism in Eukaryota, Metazoa, Chordata, Mammalia, Carnivora, Felidae. The record is from Ensembl.
GUCUACGGCCAUACCACCCUGAAUGCGCCCGACCUCGUCUGAUCUCGGAAGCUAAGCAGGGUCGGGCCUGGUUAGUACUUGGAUGGGAGAAACACAAAUCAAAAUCACAGUGAGGUACC